RNAcentral lists this ribosomal RNA (258 nucleotides) under uncultured bacterium. Its description in RNAcentral is "partial 16S ribosomal RNA". It matches the Rfam family "Bacterial small subunit ribosomal RNA", at positions 1243 to 1500 of the family's 1533-position model. The record is from RNAcentral.
AGAGAAACGAAGUAGUGAUGCAGAGUAAAACUCAAAAAACGGUACUCAGUCCGGAUUGAAGGCUGAAAUUCGCCUUCAUGAAGCUGGAAUUGCUAGUAAUGGCAGGUCAGCAUACUGCCGUGAAUACGUUCCCGGGCCUUGUACACACCGCCCGUCACACCAUGAGGGUUGGGAAUACCCGAAGCCUGUGAGCUAACUGUAAGGAGGCAGCAGUCGAAGGUAGAACCAAUGAUUGGGGUGAAGUCGUAACAAGGUAAC